GACGGAGGCUCGAGGCCCAGCCAAUCAGAUAUUGCUAUUGACGCUGUAGAUCCCGAGGAUUGCUGCAUUGAGAUUUCUGGUGCUGGUGCUCGUUUGCGGGCCUCCGCUGCUGGUCAGGACGUUGUUCGGGACCCGGUAAACCAGCCGGCUGUCUGUCCUGAUGAAGAUGUGCGGCCAGCUGACAGUGCUGCCCAUGAUGGUGGGUCCGUCUUGUCUCGGGGAAGUGCAAGAUCAUCACUGGCUUCGACGAAGGCCCAGGAGUCAGCUAGACGAGCUGCUCUGAAAGUGAAGAUGAAGUUCCUAAAAGAAAGGCAGAUGCUGGAGCUUCGUGAGCAGGAACUGAAGAUGAAGAAGGAGGAAUUGAAGCUGCGUGAAGCCCUUGAAGAAUCUGAAGCCUUUGAAGCCGCGCUUUCAGAAAGCGGGCCUAACUCGACUGUUUCAACGGCUGUUGGAGGAACCGGUAACAGCACCCAGGAAAGGAUUUCGCCCAUUUCGAGACCGGCCACUCCCCCUCCGGCACCAGAAGCUAGACGUACCGAGAACGAGGAUCAUCAGGCGAGCUUGAUGAAGAAGUUGCUCACCUCGUGUGUUCUCCCAAAGCCAGACAUUCCCGUGUUCUCAGGCGAUUUUGCCAGAUUCCACCAGUUUUUGAGAGCGUUUGAUGGACGAGUCGCUAGCGUGGUCGUCGAUGAGGAAGAGAAGCUUCGCUAUUUGGAGCAGUUUACGUCUGGUACACCAAGAGACAUCGUACGGGGAUGCAUGUUCAUGAAGACCGGUGGCUAUGAGGAAGCGAAGAGGCUAUUGAUGAAGAGGUAUGGCAACCCUGACCGGAUGGCUGAGUCAUUCAUCGACCGUCUGGUGCACUGGCCACUUGUGAAGGGUGAUGAUGUCGCUGGACUCGACAAGCUCGCGGUGGAGAUGAGAGCCUGUCACAACGCAGUGGACAGUCUGAUGGGAGCCAGCCAUGAGCUGAACCAUCCAAAGACAAUGAAGAAGAUUUUGGAGAAGCUGCCCUUCGCAAUUCAAGAAAAAUGGCGGAGAGAAGUGGACCGUCUGGCAGAAGGAGAGGGAAGGUCUGCACUGUUCUCUGAUCUGGUCAGCUUGAUGGAAGUAGAAGCCAGAAUCGCUUCAAACGCUGCCUUCGGCCGUCAAGUCUUUCUCAAAAAAGACCUAUCAAGAGCCGACAAGUCUCAGGAGACCAAAGUCAAGUGUAAUUACGUCAAAACCAAAGACGCUGAAACCGAAAAGAAGAUAUGUGUAUUGUGCAAGCACGAGCACGACUUGUCUGCGUGCCCAGUUUUUGCAGAGAAAACAUUGGUGGAAAGAGAGAAGCUUGUUCGUCAGCACGCGCUCUGCUUCGGAUGUCUGGAGGCGGGUCACAGGUCCAGAUGGUGUAAGUCCCGUCUGACAUGCAUGGUGUGCGGGAAGGGCCACCCCUCUGUGCUCCAUAGAUACCAGACGGCGACGGUCAGCCACGAUAGCCCGCCGAUGACUCUAUUAAGUGACCAGCGGGCUUCGCAGGCAGCAGUAAACGUCCUCUCUUCUAGAAGAGCAGGACAUUCGGGUGUAAAGAUGCCAAUUGUUCCGGUGAAAGUGAAGUACCAAGGUGGGACUACUGUACAGACUUACGCCCUUCUCGACAGCGGUAGCUCAUCAACCUUCUGCAGUCAGUUGUUGUUGGACAAGCUGGGGGUGCCCACCUCGGCGAAGACCAAACUCUCCGUCAUCACCAUGGCCAGGGACCCGCUCAAAGUCUGGACGGCUCCCGUUGAGGGCUUAUCGAUAUGUGGCAUCGACGAAAGUGACCCCGUUGACUUACCUGAAGUGUUCUCGUUGGGAAGCAUCCCAGCCAGCCGGGAGGAGGUCUGUAGAGUUGACGAUCUCUCUGACUGGCCACGCCUGCAGGAAGUCGUCCCGCCUGACAUAGACGCUGACGUAGGACUCUUGAUUGGCGUAAACGUCCCCGCUGCUCUGGAGCCUGUCGACUUCAUCAAGAGUCGUGACGGCGGCCCUUUCGCGGUAAAAACCAGGCUUGGAUGGAUGGUCCAAGGCCGAGUUCGAUACUUGAAACCGACGCAGCCGAAGAGCACCACGAAUCGCAUCAAAGUGGAGCCCCAGCAGCUUCAUCUGGACGGGAGCCUGGCUACUGGAGAACGACACUUGUCUGUUGAAGAUCCUCGAUGGCGGAGCGGUGACACAGUUCAGCCGCCAGAGGUACGCCUGAGGAACGUUCUCCCCUUCGGCGCCAGGUCCUCACCCGGAGUAGCUGACUGUGCUCUGCGGCAGGCUGCGGAAGCCAGUGGUGAAAGAAGUUCGUGGUUGAAGCCAGAUAAAACAUUGGAGACUGAAGAUGCUGUUGUGAUCGCUGACAGUGGCCUUCAAAGGAUCCAGCGACCACUGGGUCGCGUGAUAGAAAGGCGUGCUAGCCAGGACGGACUGGUGAGAAGUGUUAAGGUGAAAACGAAAGGAAGGGAGAUGUGGCGCCCAGUCACGAAGCUGGUGUCAUUGUGCUAGGCGCCAGCUGAGCGAGGACGCUGUGCCAGAUGGUCUCUGUGCCAGUUCGAUUGAGGCAAUCUGCGUUGCGCAAGGUACUUGUUGAUUUGGGGAAAUGCAAACGUGCGCACUGCCUCUUCAUGUUCCCCUUGUGUUCUCGUUUUGUAUGUUCGGCCUUGAAGACCGAACGGGGAGGGUGUAGCGGCGCCGAGGCGCCGAAGAUGCGCACGACUCCGGGGUGCAAGCGCCGUCGGUGUCACAAUCAUGUGCAUUUUGCGUUUAUUGUGCCAUUUAACAGAAAGUUGUUUUUGUUGUUCAGCUAAAAUGUGCCAAAAGCUGUUUUUCAUCAAGUUUGAUUGUCAAUUGUAAUUUUAGCUUUAUUUCGCUAAAAAGGUUGUCUAAACGAUUAACGUAAAUAUGUCCGUUUUUGGCCGCUACAUUGUUAAGCGGUAUCUCCACGUCCUGUCUGCGCUGUGAUUUGCGAUACAGUCGAAACCAUUGCAUUGCAUUGCAUUGCAUUGCCUGACAUCGCAUUAGAAGAGAAUAUAAAUUGGUAUCACGAACAGGCAGCGAUGCGUUUAAGACGACGCGAGGAGCGCAGGCGGGAACACUAGUCAUUCCACAUUUCUGUGCACAUAUGACAAUUUAACCUGCCAGACCUUCUAUUCCUAGCCCCUACUGUCCCUAGUCACCCUCUAGUAUCAUGUGACCACACUCCACGCCUCCGUGAGCCAUUCUAUUCAGUGACCACCGCCGUGCUGUACCGCCCAGCGCGACCUCUGUGGAGUGCUGAGCUCAGCAGAGACACUGGCGCCGUGCUGGGGCGGAGCGUGUCGCCCGGCUGCAGUGGCGCCGCUGACACCUGCGACUGGUGGCAACGCCUUUUUGCUCCUUCAACAAGUCCACCAAUCCCUCGUCUAGCAUCAGUCGUAUUUCGGAGAUCAGUCUGAACUACCAGACCCCGCACAGUCCGGUAGCCGACUGUCUUCCUCUCGUGGUUCCCUGAGAGCGCCGCCGGCCGGCUGCUGCGUCUCCCAGACCCGGCGCC
This 3541-nucleotide unclassified non-coding RNA is filed under the name Amphibalanus amphitrite. Its description in RNAcentral is "mothers against decapentaplegic homolog 3-like, transcript variant X8". The record is from RNAcentral. Lineage: Eukaryota; Metazoa; Arthropoda; Thecostraca; Balanomorpha; Balanidae.